This 2304-nucleotide ribosomal RNA is filed under the name Acinetobacter baumannii. RNAcentral's name for it is "partial 23S ribosomal RNA". It matches the Rfam family "Bacterial large subunit ribosomal RNA", at positions 639 to 2925 of the family's 2925-position model. The record is from RNAcentral. Lineage: Bacteria; Pseudomonadati; Pseudomonadota; Gammaproteobacteria; Moraxellales; Moraxellaceae.
AGCGAGGUUAACCGUAUAGGGGAGCCGUAGAGAAAUCGAGUCUUAAUAGGGCGUUUAGUUGCUGGGUAUAGACCCGAAACCAGGCGAUCUAUCCAUGAGCAGGUUGAAGGUUGGGUAACACUAACUGGAGGACCGAACCCACUGUCGUUGAAAAGCCAGGGGAUGACUUGUGGAUAGGGGUGAAAGGCUAAUCAAGCCUGGUGAUAGCUGGUUCUCCCCGAAAGCUAUUUAGGUAGCGCCUCGGACGAAUACCAUAGGGGGUAGAGCACUGUUUCGGCUAGGGGGUCAUCCCGACUUACCAAACCGAUGCAAACUCCGAAUACCUAUGAGUACUAUCCGGGAGACAGACUGCGGGUGCUAACGUCCGUAGUCAAGAGGAAAACAAUCCAGACCGCCAGCUAAGGCCCCAAAAUCAUAGUUAAGUGGGAAACGAUGUGGGAAGGCAUAGACAGCUAGGAGGUUGGCUUAGAAGCAGCCACCCUUUAAAGAAAGCGUAAUAGCUCACUAGUCGAGUCGGCCUGCGCGGAAGAUGUAACGGGGCUAAAACUAUGUGCCGAAGCUGCGGAUGUAUACUUUGUAUACGUGGUAGGGGAGCGUUCUGUAAGCCGAUGAAGGUGUGUUGAGAAGCAUGCUGGAGGUAUCAGAAGUGCGAAUGCUGACGUGAGUAACGACAAAACGGGUGAAAAACCCGUUCGCCGAAAGACCAAGGGUUCCAGUCCAACGUUAAUCGGGGCUGGGUGAGUCGACCCCUAAGGCGAGGCCGAAAGGCGUAGUCGAUGGGAAAAUGGUUAAUAUUCCAUUACUUCUGUGUAAUGCGAUGAGAGGACGGAGAAGGCUAAAUCAGCCUGGCGUUGGUUGUCCAGGUGAAAGGAUGUAGGCAUGUAUCUUAGGCAAAUCCGGGGUACUCUAUGCUGAGAUCUGAUAGCAAGCUGUACUUGUACAGCGAAGUGGUUGAUGCCAUGCUUCCAGGAAAAGUCUCUAAGCUUCAGUUACACAGGAAUCGUACCCGAAACCGACACAGGUGGUCAGGUCGAGUAGACCAAGGCGCUUGAGAGAACUCUGCUGAAGGAACUAGGCAAAAUGGUACCGUAACUUCGGGAGAAGGUACGCUGUUGUUGGUGAUGGAACUCGCUUCCUGAGCUGACGACAGCCGCAGAAACCAGGCCGCUGCAACUGUUUAUUAAAAACAUAGCACUCUGCAAACACGAAAGUGGACGUAUAGGGUGUGAUGCCUGCCCGGUGCUGGAAGGUUAAUUGAUGGGGUUAGCGUAAGCGAAGCUCUUGAUCGAAGCCCCAGUAAACGGCGGCCGUAACUAUAACGGUCCUAAGGUAGCGAAAUUCCUUGUCGGGUAAGUUCCGACCUGCACGAAUGGCAUAAUGAUGGCGGCGCUGUCUCCAGCAGAGGCUCAGUGAAAUCGAAAUCGCUGUGAAGAUGCAGUGUACCCGCGGCUAGACGGAAAGACCCCGUGAACCUUUACUGCAGCUUGACACUGAACUUUGACCUUACUUGUGUAGGAUAGGUGGGAGGCUUUGAAGCUGGAACGCUAGUUCCAGUGGAGCCGUCCUUGAAAUACCACCCUGGUAAUGUUGAGGUUCUAACUCUGUCCCGUGAUCCGGGACGAGGACCGUGUCUGGUGGGUAGUUUGACUGGGGCGGUCUCCUCCUAAAGAGUAACGGAGGAGUACGAAGGUGCGCUCAGCGUGGUCGGAAAUCACGCGUAGAGUAUAAAGGCAAAAGCGCGCUUAACUGCGAGACCCACAAGUCGAGCAGGUACGAAAGUAGGUCUUAGUGAUCCGGUGGUUCUGUAUGGAAGGGCCAUCGCUCAACGGAUAAAAGGUACUCUGGGGAUAACAGGCUGAUACCGCCCAAGAGUUCAUAUCGACGGCGGUGUUUGGCACCUCGAUGUCGGCUCAUCUCAUCCUGGGGCUGAAGCAGGUCCCAAGGGUAUGGCUGUUCGCCAUUUAAAGAGGUACGCGAGCUGGGUUUAGAACGUCGUGAGACAGUUCGGUCCCUAUCUACCGUGGGCGCUGGAAAUUUGAGAGGAUCUGCUCCUAGUACGAGAGGACCAGAGUGGACGAACCUCUGGUGUACCGGUUGUGACGCCAGUCGCAUCGCCGGGUAGCUAUGUUCGGAAGGGAUAACCGCUGAAAGCAUCUAAGCGGGAAGCCUACCUCAAGAUAAGAUUUCCCUAGGACUUUAUGUCCUCUAAAGAGCCGUUCGAGACUAGGACGUUGAUAGGUUGGAUGUGGAAGCAUAGUGAUAUGUGAAGCUGACCAAUACUAAUUGCUCGUGAGGCUUGACUAU